CUACGAAGGGGGCAAGCGUUGUUCGGAAUAACUGGGCGUAAAGCGCACGUAGGCGGAAUGUUAAGUUAGAGGUGAAAUCCCAGGGCUCAACCCUGGAACGGCCUUUAAUACUGGCAAUCUAGAGACCGAGAGAGGUGAGUGGAAUUCCGAGUGUAGAGGUGAAAUUCGUAGAUAUUCGGAGGAACACCAGUGGCGAAGGCGGCUCACUGGCUCGGUACUGACGCUGAGGUGCGAAAGCGUGGGGAGCAAACAGGAUUAGAUACCCCAGUAGUCC
This 274-nucleotide ribosomal RNA is filed under the name uncultured bacterium. RNAcentral describes it as "partial 16S ribosomal RNA". It matches the Rfam family "Bacterial small subunit ribosomal RNA", at positions 523 to 796 of the family's 1533-position model. The record is from RNAcentral.